UUUCUGUAAUUUCUACAGCAAAAUUUUACAGUUACUUCUUGUUCUGUCAUUUUACAAAGUUUAGCUGUUCAUUGCAAUGCAUUGUGGGUCAAAAAACUAUUACAGAAGUUGACAGCUUUUCCCCCACAAUAAAUUACAGGUAUAUUUGUGCUUGCCUGUAAAUGAUGCAGUAUUACAGUUAUUCACUGUUGAAUGCGUUGCACGAGGCAGCUUGACGCCAUUUUAUGUCGGAUUGCAGAGGAGCAGGGACAUUGCCACGCCACUCAUGCACAAAUGUGUUGGCAACAGACGUUGAAAAAAGACUACAGUUUCCUGACUCUAAUUGUCUUAGGUGAAUCAGCGUUUGGAUGCUGAGCAUCGGGUGGUUGUGCCUCCACAUCCCAACUUCGUGGCUGGAAUGGCAGCUUUGUUUUCUAGCUACUACAACUUCAAUAUUGUGUACCAGGAGCAAGUGCACACUGGAGUUCAUUCAAAGAUGCUUCAUUGGACUGAACCCCUCCAGUGGGACCAAGACAGCAAAGGUGGUUAGCCAAAAAAGAGGGAAGGUACAGGAGAAACUGCAUUAACCCUCACGUCACCUCUCUACUUAAGCGGCUGAUAGAUUUUGAAUGGCUUCAAUUGUAAGUCUCAAGCGACUUCCUCACAAUAUGAAUGGACAAUGUUCUAAAUGUUUUCUGAAUUUCACUGAAUGUUAAGAAAAUGAAUAGAAUAUGCUGUUAAGAAAAAGACAUUCUGAAAAUGUACAGUAUUGUAACACUGUAUUUUGUUUUAAUAAUAAAAUUUCAUGAUUUUGCAUCUUG
Misgurnus anguillicaudatus (oriental weatherfish) is the source of this 800-nucleotide non-coding RNA. Lineage: Eukaryota; Metazoa; Chordata; Actinopteri; Cypriniformes; Cobitidae. The record is from RefSeq and is a predicted model, not a curated record.